Podarcis lilfordi (Lilford's wall lizard) is the source of this 71-nucleotide non-coding RNA. Lineage: Eukaryota; Metazoa; Chordata; Lepidosauria; Squamata; Lacertidae. The record is from the annotation of a GenBank genome assembly.
GGAUAGCUCAGUUGGUAGAGCAGGAGACUCUAACUCUUAAGGUCAUGGGUUCAAGCCACCCAGAUUGGCCA